This is a non-coding RNA of Pantherophis guttatus, 164 nucleotides long. Lineage: Eukaryota; Metazoa; Chordata; Lepidosauria; Squamata; Colubridae. The record is from RefSeq and is a predicted model, not a curated record.
AAUUUCUGCUUGCUCUGUUCUCUGAAAAGUCUCAUUGGACUUGAUUUUUACUGCCUCUGGCCUUCAGCAGCCAAUUUACUCAUGCAGAAGGGCUUCAGUUUUGCUUUGUUUUAAAUGAAGACCCGAAGGGCGUCCGAUUGGAGAUCUUCACCAAUUUAUAGACU